UGGAAGUUGUGGAUUUUAGCCUUGUUCUAUAUACUCUUACGACUGCAGCAAUAAAUAACUUUAUCCGGCUAUUUGCUUAUAACGCCGCUGCCCGCGACCAGCAGCGUAUAGGCAGUACGUCGACACCCUGAUGUGUUCGACGCUCUACGCCACAUCCUUCAUCGUCACUGGGGUGCUUGUGGCGGUCAACAAUUAAUGCUGAUACAAAUAUGUCCUUAAGCAGCCUUAUGUUAUUGAACGACGCCGUCAUGCUGUUCGGAGGCAUUUAGAUCAUGGAGAUGGUUUAUCUCUGCCUCAAGUUCUACCGCAAGAGGAACGUUGUCCGCGAUGUGGCGACAAUUGAGGCGACAAUUGAGUUGGCCGAGGACCCCACUAGCCAGUGAGGCCCAGGAGUCAUGCCGAGGCCCUCCCUAUAUGGUGGGUGGGCACUCCGCGGUACCCCACGACCUACAGUCAGUGCUCUCAAUUCGACCCCACGAAGCACAUCUCGAGAAAAUGUGGUAAUUCAGAGAUGAAGGAAAAUCUUCAACUUUGUAUUGUUGAACUACGUAACCGUGCUUGGAAUUCAGUUCAGUUUUCCGGUAAUUUCUUGCUCAUUAUAUAUUUGCACUGACCACGCUGCCGUCGGGAAUGGCAUUUGAGGCGUCAUCUACAGUUAUGAACGGAGUCGUUUUCAGGUAAUUGAGGCAUCGCGAAGAUGAAAACAUAGACUUGAAAUUAUUCAGAGAAUCAAAGAGAAGCAUCUUCAGAGAUUUUUUAUCGGUACAGUUUUUGCAGUUACCAUAUAACGAUACGGUAAAUGAUUUGUCUUCCAUUCAGUCCCGUACUUUCCACUAAAUGAUAAAAGCAAAUGAGCAACAAUUUUCAGACUGGCUACAAUUUAGUUGACUAUCCCUUCAAUACGGUUGCCUUGAAUAAAGUCGUGGUGUACAGGAAUCUUCUCUGGUCCAGAAGACUCACGAUCAUCAUUCAUGCAAACGACUGCAGACACUAGAAUGACAAUGCGACAAUAAUUAUAGUAUAACGUGCUACACUAUAUAUUCAAAUGAGGAGGUAACCAUAUAUCCUCGCCACUGCGUAAUUGGGAUUAAAAGCAUAUUAUUCAAUUUCAUAAUUAUUGGUUAAGAAUUGAGGGGAAUAAGCGUGCCGAAGUGGCCGAAUUCAUCCGUUAUACCUGUCUAAUUGAAUCUGGAGGUAAAAAUAGGAAACAAAUUUUCGACAACACGUAAUGAGUAUUGAAUGUGUGUAUUCAAUUUAAUUAUUGUUCACGAGUUGAAAAAUAGGGAUAAACGAUAAAUGUUCACGAAUUGA
Hyalella azteca is the source of this 1311-nucleotide long non-coding RNA. RefSeq lists it as uncharacterized. The transcript has 3 exons. Lineage: Eukaryota; Metazoa; Arthropoda; Malacostraca; Amphipoda; Hyalellidae. The record is from RefSeq and is a predicted model, not a curated record.